UAUUGGACAAUGGGCGCAAGCCUGAUCCAGCCAUACCGCGUGGGUGAAGAAGGCCUUCGGGUUGUAAAGCCCUUUUGUUGGGAAAGAAAUCCAGCCGGCUAAUACCUGGUUGGGAUGACGGUACCCAAAGAAUAAGCACCGGCUAACUUCGUGCCAGCAGCCGCGGUAAUACGAAGGGUGCAAGCGUUACUCGGAAUUACUGGGCGUAAAGCGUGCGUAGGUGGUUGUUUAAGUCUGUUGUGAAAGCCCUGGGCUCAACCUGGGAACUGCAGUGGAAACUGGACAACUAGAGUGUGGUAGAGGGUAGCGGAAUUCCCGGUGUAGCAGUGAAAUGCGUAGAGAUCGGGAGGAACAUCCAUGGCGAAGGCAGCUACCUGGACCAACACUGACACUGAGGCACGAAA
This 404-nucleotide ribosomal RNA is filed under the name uncultured bacterium. RNAcentral describes it as "bacterial SSU rRNA". It matches the Rfam family "Bacterial small subunit ribosomal RNA", at positions 362 to 758 of the family's 1533-position model. The record is from RNAcentral.